GGUUCAAUGCCACGUUGCUGGUAGCCAUUUGGCAUUGACCGGCAAUGCUAUGAUUGGACCUAAAUCAAUUUCUUGUUUUGCUGACUGAUAGGAAUCUUUGGAUCUGAUUUCUGUUGAUUCAUGGAGCCGAUUACAGUGAUUACAUCC
Ricinus communis (castor bean) is the source of this 147-nucleotide non-coding RNA. Lineage: Eukaryota; Viridiplantae; Streptophyta; Magnoliopsida; Malpighiales; Euphorbiaceae. The record is from Rfam.